GCCCGUAUAGCUCAGUGGUAGAGCGCAUCACUAGUACGACCUAGUGCAAUGAUGAGGUCCCUGGUUCGAUCCCAGGUGUGGGCA
Molecule: transfer RNA, 84 nt
Rfam family: tRNA
About the family: Transfer RNA (tRNA) molecules are approximately 80 nucleotides in length. Their secondary structure includes four short double-helical elements and three loops (D, anti-codon, and T loops).
Source: Rfam